RNAcentral lists this ribosomal RNA (205 nucleotides) under Ceratorhiza hydrophila. RNAcentral's name for it is "partial small subunit ribosomal RNA". It matches the Rfam family "Eukaryotic small subunit ribosomal RNA", at positions 1334 to 1561 of the family's 1831-position model. The record is from RNAcentral. Lineage: Eukaryota; Fungi; Basidiomycota; Agaricomycetes; Cantharellales; Ceratobasidiaceae.
AACGAGACCUUAGCCUGCUAAAUAGUCCGGCCGGCUUUUGCUGGUCGCAGACUUCUUAGAGGGACUGUCAGCGUCUAGCUGACGGAAGUUUGAGGCAAUAACAGGUCUGUGAUGCCCUUAGAUGUUCUGGGCCGCACGCGCGCUACACUGACAGAGCCAGCGAGUUCUCGCCUUGGCCGGAAGGUCUGGGUAAUCUUGUGAAACU